This 23-nucleotide transfer RNA is filed under the name Craugastor longirostris (long-snouted whistling frog). RNAcentral describes it as "partial tRNA-Phe". Lineage: Eukaryota; Metazoa; Chordata; Amphibia; Anura; Craugastoridae. The record is from RNAcentral.
UGGGCCCUUAAGAGCCCUAAAAA